GCUUGCUUUCUUUGCUGGCGACCGGCGCACGGGUGAGUAACACGUAUCCAACCUACCCUUUACUCGGGGAUAGCCUUUCGAAAGAAAGAUUAAUACCCGAUAGCAUAAUGAUUCCGCAUGGUUUCAUUAUUAAAGGAUUCCGGUAAAGGAUGGGGAUGCGUUCCAUUAGGUUGUUGGUGGGGUAACGGCCCACCAAGCCUUCGAUGGAUAGGGGUUCUGAGAGGAAGGUCCCCCACAUUGGAACUGAGACGCGGUCCAAACUCCUACGGGAGGCAGCAUG
This 280-nucleotide ribosomal RNA is filed under the name uncultured bacterium. Its description in RNAcentral is "partial 16S ribosomal RNA". It matches the Rfam family "Bacterial small subunit ribosomal RNA", at positions 78 to 353 of the family's 1533-position model. The record is from RNAcentral.